UCCUCCCUCUGGCGGCGUGCUUAACACAUGCAAGUCGAACGAAGAGCGACGGAAGCUUGCUUCUAUCAAUCUUAGUGGCGAACGGGUGAGUAACGCGUAAUCAACCUGCCCUUCAGAGGGGGACAACAGUUGGAAACGACUGCUAAUACCGCAUACGAUCUAACCUCGGCAUCGAGGAUAGAUGAAAGGUGGCCUCUACAUGUAAGCUAUCACUGAAGGAGGGGAUUGCGUCUGAUUAGCUAGUUGGAGGGGUAACGGCCCACCAAGGCGAUGAUCAGUAGCCGGGCUGAGAGGAUGAACGGCCACAUUGGGACUGAGACACGGCCCAGACUCCUACGGGAGGCAGCAGUGGGGAAUCUUCCGCAAUGGACGAAAGUCUGACGGAGCAACGCCGCGUGAGUGAUGACGGCCUUCGGGUUGUAAAGCUCUGUUAAUCGGGACGAAAGGCCUUCUUGCGAAUAGUGAGAAGGAUUGACGGUACCGGAAUAGAAAGCCACGGCUAACUACGUG
Molecule: ribosomal RNA, 510 nt
Filed under: uncultured bacterium
Lineage: Bacteria
Description: partial 16S ribosomal RNA
Rfam family: Bacterial small subunit ribosomal RNA
Source: RNAcentral